This is a long non-coding RNA of Fundulus heteroclitus (mummichog), 432 nucleotides long. RefSeq lists it as uncharacterized. The transcript has 3 exons. The record is from RefSeq and is a predicted model, not a curated record. NCBI's taxonomy places the organism in Eukaryota, Metazoa, Chordata, Actinopteri, Cyprinodontiformes, Fundulidae.
UUCUACUACUGUGCACCCCCCUGACUUCAGGCAUUGGUUGUCCCUGGCUGUCUACUUCCGUGUUUUCUGUGCUUCACGGCAGCACGGAUAGUUUUAUACCGAACCACAGAUCGACACAACUUAUAAGUGACGGUGACUUUUGCAAAGGUCUGAGCUGUAGUCCAGCUCCAAGUGUGAUUCUGCUGCUCUGCCCAGCUCUUUUGCAUUACUUCUGUUGCUGGCUGCUUUGGUUGUGGGCAUGUGCCUGGCCCGGUCCUCGAUGUGAUUCCCGAAAGACUGAUUCUGGAGUUAAGCGGGACCCGAUUCAGCUGCCACUGAAAGGGCCAUACUAAAAUUGCCCAAGGAACAUUUGUUUUUUUGUUGUUUAUGUAUUGUUCGUUAUAUAUUUUAACAUUCUGUGUCUAGGAGCUGAUUGUCAGAGCUGUGGUGGUG